Molecule: ribosomal RNA, 407 nt
Filed under: uncultured bacterium
Lineage: Bacteria
Description: partial 16S ribosomal RNA
Rfam family: Bacterial small subunit ribosomal RNA
Source: RNAcentral
AUUGAACGCUGGCGGCAUGCCUAACACAUGCAAGUCGAGCGGAGCGGCGGACGGGUGGGUAAUGCCUAGGAAUCUGCCUGGUAGUGGGGGAUACCGUCCGGAAACGGGCGCUAAUACCGCAUACUAUCAGAUGAGCCUAGGGGGGAUUAGCUAGUAGGUGGGGUAAAGGCUCACCAAGGCGACGAUCCCUAGCUGGUCUGAGAGGAUGAUCAGCCACACUGGAACUGAGACAGGGUCCAGACUACUACGGGAGGCAGCAGUGGGGAAUAUUGGACAAUGGGCGCAAGCCUGAGGCAGCCAUGCCGAGUGUGUGAAGAAGGUCUUCGGAUUGUAAAGCACUUUAAGUUGGGAGGCGUUACCAACAGAAUAAGCACCGGCUAACUUCGUGCCAGCAGCCGCGGUAAUAC